RNAcentral lists this ribosomal RNA (497 nucleotides) under uncultured bacterium. Its description in RNAcentral is "partial 16S ribosomal RNA". It matches the Rfam family "Bacterial small subunit ribosomal RNA", at positions 28 to 507 of the family's 1533-position model. The record is from RNAcentral.
GAUGAACGCUGGCGGCGUGCCUAAUACAUGCAAGUCGAGCGAACAGACGAGGAUCUUGCUCCUCUGACGUUAGCGGCGGACGGGUGAGUAACACGUGGAUAACCUACCUAUAAGACUGGGAUAACUUCGGGAAACCGGAGCUAAUACCGGAUAAUAUAUUGAACCGCAUGGUUCAAUAGUGAAAGACGGUUUUGCUGUCACUUAUAGAUGGAUCCGCGCCGCAUUAGCUAGUUGGUAAGGUAACGGCUUACCAAGGCAACGAUGCGUAGCCGACCUGAGAGGGUGAUCGGCCACACUGGAACUGAGACACGGUCCAGACUCCUACGGGAGGCAGCAGUAGGGAAUCUUCCGCAAUGGGCGAAAGCUUGACGGAGCAACGCCGCGUGAGUGAUGAAGGUCUUCGGAUCGUAAAACUCUGUUAUUAGGGAAGAACAAAUGUGUAAGUAACUAUGCACGUCUUGACGGUACCUAAUCAGAAAGCCACGGCUAACUACGCG